CAAAGAGGAAGCGUUUGGCGUCGGACCCGCUCGCAGACGCCCCAAAACACGCAGCAUGGUGUUGCCAUACCUAGAGACGGCUACUGACAUCAGGUAGCGACAGACCUGCCCCCUCUCUCGAUAUGAAAAGCUCAUAUUAAGCGGACUAAAGCACAGUGAGGUCACUCCACCGAGCCACGGCAGCAGCUGCAGGGGAGGCAGGCAGGCAAUGAUGAGGUCAUUCAGCAGGCAGGAUUAAGGCCGUGACAACUGGCGCUGCGACCAGUGCCAGUGCUGACCGGGGCAGUUGUGCAGUGGGCACGGUGCUGCGGGCCCCGGCUCCACACCAGCAUUACCCCACUGUUGUUUUUUCAUUAGCUUGGUGCUGGCCCGGGCCACUUUGCAGCUCGCCAGGCCCACAGCGUGAACCCACAGUUGUUGCGGGGCUUUAGAGGCCGUCUUACUGCAUCUCCCCCUCUCUCUCUCUCUCUCUCUCUCUUCGUCUCUGUCUGUGGUCACAAACUGUGACCGCCAUCCUCACGGGGAAUAAAGGAUCAGGUUACGUACCAACACACUCGUUAACUCAAUUAUGCAAGCCCUUAACGCUUUGAUGUGUAGCGAUAACUCCAGGAUUAUUGAAGGGACAGAUGCCAUCUGACCACAGCGGAGCUUUGUUGCCACAUGCCUCGGCUACGGCCGAUGAAAGACGGACAAAAUGGGACUGGUGAGGGUUCAGGAGAAGGGCCACUUAUAACCUGAAAGGGUUGAAAGACAGGCGCAGGCGUGGGAGGUAUCACAUGAAAGCACGUCGCCGGCCUUCAAAUGUGCGCUCGACAUUCUGGGUGCGAAAAAGCUAAAAGUAGCUUGUAAUGGAUAAACCAGCUCCCCCUAAAAAAAUUCACUUCACCUAACAUCUGCUUAAUAGAUGAAGGAGUAACAGGAUGUGCAACGUGUGGCUUUAAAUUAGGUGAUUCCAGUCUCCAUUUUCGUUUUUUCUUUUUUUAUGCACUUUAAAUUCUCCACCUUCUCCUGCGAGAUGAUGAAAAUGCAUAAAAACACAGCCGCUCACCCUUCAUUGGUUCCCACUUAUUUUUCAGCGGCGCUUGGACGUAAACCUAAAACCAUUAGCUGCACCACUGAGACCAAUUAGCCAAAGCGUGGCCAAACAAACCUUCCCUCGCCUUUUACAACAUGUUCUCUCAUUCUACCCUCCCUUCUUACAGCCUUUCUCUCUCUCCCUCUCCCUCCUUUGUGACGGACUGAGACAGUUAUUUAAGUGUCUUUGGCCUCUUCCGAGCUCCUGAUAAGUGAUUUAUUCAUCAUAAGCAUUUCUGAUGCUUUGCAACUGUAGGGAUGUUCCCUUACGGCCCGGAGGCCUGACAUGUUGAUGUCUAUCUCCCACAUAAGCUCCAGAUGUGAACUCACUGGCUUGAUGUUUGGUUGGAAGAGCUCAGCUGGAAAAACUUUUUUGUAGCCGCUGACCUGAAAUAUCCAACGAAUAAAAGAGAAGAUGGUGGGCGACGCCCUUCAGUUUUGCAUUUGACACCGUUUUAAAUCAGUCCCCGCCCCCCACAAUACAACCUACCUAAUUUUACUGAAUCUAUGUGAGAUUAAACCACAGCAGUCUGAAGACAGUAAACCUUAUCUCCCACUAGGUGGCAAUGCAGUUGCAGACUGACAUGAUAGAAGGGAGACAAACACCUGUGGGAUCACAA
Acanthopagrus latus (yellowfin seabream) is the source of this 1694-nucleotide long non-coding RNA. RefSeq lists it as uncharacterized. The transcript has 3 exons. The record is from RefSeq and is a predicted model, not a curated record. Lineage: Eukaryota; Metazoa; Chordata; Actinopteri; Spariformes; Sparidae.